Long non-coding RNA from Chinchilla lanigera (long-tailed chinchilla), 1279 nucleotides. RefSeq lists it as uncharacterized. The transcript is spliced from 5 exons. NCBI's taxonomy places the organism in Eukaryota, Metazoa, Chordata, Mammalia, Rodentia, Chinchillidae. The record is from RefSeq and is a predicted model, not a curated record.
GGGCUGAUUUCAGACUUCCAAGGUCCUGUCACUGAGCACAAAGUCGGGAUGACCUGCACAACUGUCCGGCACUACCCAGCUUCUCCACCGUACAGGAAAGCAGCGGAUGGUCACCUGUCUGGGUGAGUGAGUCUCCAAAGGAGCACAUCAGAGGAGCCCCUGGAAAUAUGUGGCUUCCAGUGUGUUGCUUUUGCCGCCGGGCAGGAAUGGAUUCUAGGUCUCUCAAAAGGGCGGAAACCAAGAGAUCAGUUGGCCCCGUGGAGACACCCGGUAGUAAGGAAGCAAAGGAGGCCUCCGGCCCACAGCCAGCAAGGAACCCAGGUCCUCGGUUCAACACAACUUCUUCAAACCAGUUUGAGCAGCAGUGGAGCAGAAGCGACAGAACUUGAGGAAAGCCCAGGAGACCAAGGUCUCGCCCUCUAACCCUUGCCCUGGGAGUGUUGCCAGUGGCAGAAGAGCUGCAGAAGGACGGCUGAUCACUAACCUAUCACACCUGCUGUGGGCCGUGGCCUGGGAACUUCUGCACCUUUGGACGGGAUUCCAUCUGAUCCUCGUGGCAGCCCCUGGGGGUCGAAGGGAGGACUGCUGUACUAUCCUCUGUGUGCAGCUUCUCAAGCCAGAAGACACACAUCAAGGAAGGUCGGUUAAUGCUCUCAUUGCCGGGUCCACCCCACUUUUCUUUCUUUCUUUUCUUUUUUCCUGUGCUGGAGCUUGAACCCAAGGCACUGCACACUACAACCCAGCCUGUUUAAUUUUUAAAGAGGGUCCCACUAAAUCGAUAAGGAGCCUAGGCUGGGCUCAAAUUUGUGACCCUCCUACCUCUGCUUCCCAGAGUGCUAGGAUUACAGAUGUGGGCUCACACGUUUCUAGUAUAUCGGGUCUCAGGCGGGAAUGUGCACAUCUAAUCAGCUCAAGUUUGUGCCUGUGUUUCUCACCCAGGGACCACACAUUGAAAAUGGAGUAAAAAGUUUAAGAUGCAGUACAUAUAUUUACCAAUACCCCGGAUGAAUACCUUCAUUAUGCAAUGCAAACAUAUACUAGUAAAAAUUAUUUAAAAAGAAGAAAAUAACUGCUCCUAACAAACUUACAUGUACUACCAUGGCUCAAGUACCUAUAAUAAAUUGAGCACAGAAAUGCCAUAGGAAAGGAGGUUCUGAUUUUACAUCUGAGGGUGUGAGAAUCGACGAGAAUAAGGAUCUAAACUGGGCAUGGGGGUGCACACCUGUAAUCCCAGCACUCAGGAGCCUGAGGCAGGAGGAUCCUUGGGAGUUCGAGGCCA